CCUCUAAGGCAUUUGUUUAGCUAAUUAUUUGUUGAAGUUGUUAUCUAUUUUGGUGAAGGGCCAGGUUAAUAAUUACAUAUGUAAAAGGAAAUGAUAACGCUAAAUCUAUUUACCGAUUGGCACCGGGUGAUGACGUCACUUCCGGUUUUAGCGAUUUCACGCUAGUAAGAAAGAUGGCAGACAUAAGGCUCUUGUUCGCGGCAUGUGUAUUCAUUUUCAUCUGUUAGGAAACGUGAUAGAAGCAAUGCCAUUCCAUCAGGCAACAAUAUAACAGGAAACAAACUACUGGCUGUGAGAGCUCCAUACUUGGACUUCACUACAU
Long non-coding RNA from Monopterus albus (swamp eel), 322 nucleotides. RefSeq lists it as uncharacterized. NCBI's taxonomy places the organism in Eukaryota, Metazoa, Chordata, Actinopteri, Synbranchiformes, Synbranchidae. The record is from RefSeq and is a predicted model, not a curated record. The transcript has 3 exons.